GCGCCGUUGCCGGGGAGAAAGACGGUUUCCUGAGAUAACUUUAAGUCUUGCUAUUAUCUUGUAUUAUACUUUUAUUCUUUUAUCUUUUUAUUUUUUCCAUCUUUAUGGAUAACUCAAAUUCCACACCUAUUAUUGAAUUCUUUGCACCUUUGGAGACCAGCCAUAGACCAUGGGAGUCAACAAGUCCUUUCUUUGCCCCUAAUUAUGAUCUGUGUCCGAAGUUGAUUGCAAUAGGUCAAAACCAAACCUUUUUUAUAGCUGAGGUCCUAUCUUUUAAUCAAGAAGAUAAUGAACUUUUGGCUACACCUAGGGAAUCUUUUAAUCUUUCUAUAAAUUCAGCUUUAAACCUAGCCCUACAAGACCAUGUUUUUCCUUGAUAUUUUCACAUUGGUCUUAAUCAUAUAACCUUUGGUAGAGUUUUUCUUUCUUUAUCUGUUUGUAAAGCAAGGUAUGUCUUCAUUCGUGGACAUCCUUCUUGCACUAGUCUUCAUAAAAAAUUCCUAG
Molecule: long non-coding RNA, 504 nt
Filed under: Sorghum bicolor (sorghum)
Lineage: Eukaryota; Viridiplantae; Streptophyta; Magnoliopsida; Poales; Poaceae
Description: long non-coding RNA (SBIC_LNC014577)
Source: RNAcentral